This 848-nucleotide ribosomal RNA is filed under the name uncultured bacterium. RNAcentral describes it as "bacterial SSU rRNA". It matches the Rfam family "Bacterial small subunit ribosomal RNA", at positions 64 to 875 of the family's 1533-position model. The record is from RNAcentral.
CGACGAGUUCUCGUUGAUGAUCGGUGCUUGCACCGAGAUUCAACAUGGAACGAGUGGCGGACGGGUGAGUAACACGUGGGUAACCUGCCCUUAAGUGGGGGAUAACAUUUGGAAACAGAUGCUAAUACCGCAUAGAUCCAAGAACCGCAUGGUUCUUGGCUGAAAGAUGGCGUAAGCUAUCGCUUUUGGAUGGACCCGCGGCGUAUUAGCUAGUUGGUGAGGUGAUGGCUCACCAAGGCGAUGAUACGUAGCCGAACUGAGAGGUUGAUCGGCCACAUUGGGACUGAGACACGGCCCAAACUCCUACGGGAGGCAGCAGUAGGGAAUCUUCCACAAUGGACGCAAGUCUGAUGGAGCAACGCCGCGUGAGUGAAGAAGGCUUUCGGGUCGUAAAACUCUGUUGUUGGAGAAGAAUGGUCGGCAGAGUAACUGUUGUCGGCGUGACGGUAUCCAACCAGAAAGCCACGGCUAACUACGUGCCAGCAGCCGCGGUAAUACGUAGGUGGCAAGCGUUAUCCGGAUUUAUUGGGCGUAAAGCGAGCGCAGGCGGUUUUUUAAGUCUGAUGUGAAAGCCCUCGGCUUAACCGAGGAAGCGCAUCGGAAACUGGGAAACUUGAGUGCAGAAGAGGACAGUGGAACUCCAUGUGUAGCGGUGAAAUGCGUAGAUAUAUGGAAGAACACCAGUGGCGAAGGCGGCUGUCUGGUCUGUAACUGACGCUGAGGCUCGAAAGCAUGGGUAGCGAACAGGAUUAGAUACCCUGGUAGUCCAUGCCGUAAACGAUGAAUGCUAGGUGUUGGAGGGUUUCCGCCCUUCAGUGCCGCAGCUAACGCAUUAAGCAUUCCGCCUG